This 443-nucleotide ribosomal RNA is filed under the name uncultured bacterium. RNAcentral describes it as "partial 16S ribosomal RNA". It matches the Rfam family "Bacterial small subunit ribosomal RNA", at positions 338 to 795 of the family's 1533-position model. The record is from RNAcentral.
CCUACGGGUGGCAGCAGUGGGGAAUAUUGGGCAAUGGGCGCAAGCCUGACCCAGCAACGCCGCGUGAAGGAAGAAGGCUUUCGGGUUGUAAACUUCUUUUAUCAGGGACGAAGCAAGUGACGGUACCUGAUGAAUAAGCCACGGCUAACUACGUGCCAGCAGCCGCGGUAAUACGUAGGUGGCAAGCGUUAUCCGGAUUUACUGGGUGUAAAGGGCGUGUAGGCGGGAGUGCAAGUCAGAUGUGAAAACUAUGGGCUCAACCCAUAGCCUGCAUUUGAAACUGUACUUCUUGAGUGCUGGAGAGGCAAUCGGAAUUCCGUGUGUAGCGGUGAAAUGCGUAGAUAUACGGAGGAACACCAGUGGCGAAGGCAGCUUACUAAACUGCCACUGACAUUGAUGCUCGAAAGUGUGGGUAUCAAACAGGAUUAGAUACCCUAGUAGUC